Molecule: long non-coding RNA, 1765 nt
Organism: Vespa velutina
Lineage: Eukaryota; Metazoa; Arthropoda; Insecta; Hymenoptera; Vespidae
Exons: 4
Source: RefSeq, a predicted model, not a curated record
AUUAACGAGAAUAAUGAGGAAAAAUAAGGUAUACACCGAAAGGUACGAUCUUCUUAAACGAUCGUUGAACGUUCGCUCACAUGCGACCAUUUUGAGGCGGUUGUAGCAGACGAAGUAGACAGGGGAGUCUCGUAUUUCAACGGAGUAUUUCAUUUGAGUUUGGAAUUGAUUGCUCGGCGGGUUGAAGAAAGUUGGUGGGUUGGGGUGCGGAGAGAGAGAGAGAGAGAGAGAGAGAGAGUGAUGGAGGGAGGGAGAGAGAGAGGGGGAGAGAAUAUAGAAGAGGGUGCGCGGCUUGGUUCGUUGGAAGGGAGCCUCCAAGCUGAAGAGGAGGAUACGAAGGGGGAAGUGGCACAGGGUCAGAAGGAGAGGGAGAGUGAAUAUAUAUUCGGUGAGAACAGAACGGCCGAACGACGAGAGACGGAAUGGAACGAAACGAACGUAUAUUUCCAGAACAAAUAUUUACGCGAAAGAGGCUUAAUACGCGGCUACAAUGUCGGAAAAGGGCUACUACUGCAUUCGCAGAAAGCAAGCACAUAAGCAGUUUCAGUACGGGCCAACUAGUUGCUGUAUCUACAACUCGAAAGCUCAUUUCGAAUGGGAGAGAGAGUUCGAAAGUUUUAAUUUCUUCGGUUUACGGUAGGUUUUAUGAGGCAUCGAAAUGCAGCCGCUAUACCUGCCGGAACGAGCACUUCUACGAGUAUACAAGAGGGUUGAGACGAGAGAGACAGCCAUCACACAUGCAUCUGUUCUUCACGUUCGCUUUGGACCUCGGCUCAGCCAGUCGAGAUACACGACCAAAGGGGUGUUAUGUGGUCGCGGCGCACAGGUGUAACGGCCUCGUAAAUCAAGCCGAUGCUAAAUUCCGGCCAUUUCGAAGCAGUAAAAUGACAGGCCGCAAUAAUAGAGAAAGCCGCGGACACUCUUAUUGGACUGGGAGCAAUAAAAAUCUGAAAUGAUCACUCUAAACGUACGGGUAUUUUCAUUCGAUACGAUGGAAAGGAGUAACCUGAAGAAAGAGAAAAAUAAAAAACAACAACAAAAAAAGAAGAGGAAAAAAAAUAACCUGUAGCCGGGUAAAAAAACGAUGACGAUGUUAAGUAAACAAGAAUGUGGUUCUUGUCCGCUUCCUAUGUUUUAUGUAUACGCUAUGUAUGUAUAUACGUACGUACGUAUGCAUGUGUGUAUAUAUAUAUGUAUUUAUGUAUGUAUCGGGUGCGUCGUAGAAAGCAACAUUAUAUACUCAGCGACGAUUCGACGAGAGGAAAUACCAGAACGAGAUGCUAAAAUGUAUUCAUGGAAAAUGUAUAGGGAUUAAUAAUCGUAAAAGUCUAUAUCCUUGAAGAGCGAUAAAACCGUAGGCAAUAUUCUUUCGUAGUUUCCAUACCCCUCGAGCUUUGCACUUUUUGCCCCCUUUCGCAUCAUCGAACUACUACUCAACCUCCCCAACUUCUAGAUUUUCUCUCUCUUUCUAUUUCUCUCUGUCUAUUUACCUAUCUAUCUACCCAUCUAUCUAUUAAUCUCUUUUCUAUUUUUACCAAUCAAAUCUCAUCUUGCACGUUUCAAAUCAUUUUUUGAUAUAUCAUCUAUUUUUUUCUUUUUCUUCCUUCCUUCUUUCUUUCUUUGUUUUCUUUUUUUAUUUUAUUAUCUUUCAACGUAAAGCCUUUGAGAAUAGAUCCGCAUUCGUGUAUUCGUCGAUUAUUAUUAUGAUUUUAUUUAUUUGAAUAUUUCAUUUCCUUCUUAUUGAAUUGAAUAAUCGAUGAUACAG